GACGAACGCUGGCGGCGUGCUUAACACAUGCAAGUCGAACGGAAAGGCCCUGCUUUUGUGGGGUGCUCGAGUGGCGAACGGGUGAGUAACACGUGAGUAACCUGCCCUUGACUUUGGGAUAACUUCAGGAAACUGGGGCUAAUACCGGAUAGGAGCUCCUGCUGCAUGGUGGGGGUUGGAAAGUUUCGGCGGUUGGGGAUGGACUCGCGGAUUAUGAGCUUGUUGGUGGGGUAGUGGCUUACCAAGGCAUUGGCGGGUAGCCGGCCUGGGAGGGUGACCGGCCACAUUGGGACUGAGAUACGCCCCAGACUCCUACGGGAGGCAGCAGUGGGGAAUAUUGCACAAUGGGCGGAAGCCUGAUGCAGCAACGCCGCGUGCGGGAUGACGUCCUGCGGGGUGUAAACCGCUUUCGCCUGUGACGAAGCGUGAGUGACGGUAAUGGGUAAAGAAGCACCGGCUAACUACGUG
Molecule: ribosomal RNA, 468 nt
Filed under: uncultured bacterium
Lineage: Bacteria
Description: partial 16S ribosomal RNA
Rfam family: Bacterial small subunit ribosomal RNA
Source: RNAcentral